AGAGUUUGAUCCUGGCUCAGAUUGAACGCUGGCGGAAUGCUUUACACAUGCAAGUCGAACGGCAGCAUAGAGAGCUUGCUCUCUGAUGGCGAGUGGCGAACGGGUGAGUAAUAUAUCGGAACGUACCUAGUAAUGGGGAACAACCAGCCGAAAGGUUGGCUAAUACCGCAUACGACCUACGGGUGAAAGCAGGGGAUCUUCGGACCUUGCGUUAUUAGAGCGGCCGAUAUCUGAUUAGGUAGUUGGCGGGGUAAAGGCCCACCAAGGCGACGAUCCGUAGCUGGUCUGAGAGGAUGAUCAGCCACACUGGAACUGAGACACGGUCCAGACUCCUACGGGAGGCAGCAGUGGGGAAUAUUGGACAAUGGGCGCAAGCCUGAUCCAGCAAUGCCGCGUGGGUGAAGAAGGCCUUCGGGUUGUAAAGCCCUUUUGUACGGGAAGAAAGCUUCCAGGUUAAUACCCUGGGAGGAUGACGGUACCGUAAGAAUAAGCACCGGCUAACUUCGUGCCAGCAGCCGCGGUAAUACGAAGGGUGCAAGCGUUAAUCGGAAUUACUGGGCGUAAAGCGUGCGUAGGUGGUUGUUUAAGUCUGUCGUGAAAGCCCUGGGCUCAACCUGGGAAUGGCGAUGGAUACUGGGCGACUAGAGUGUGGUAGAGGAUGGCGGAAUUCCCGGUGUAGCGGUGAAAUGCGUAGAGAUCGGGAGGAACAUCUGUGGCGAAGGCGGCCAUCUGGACCAACACUGACACUGAGGCACGAAAGCGUGGGGAGCAAACAGGAUUAGAUACCCUGAUAGUCCACGCCCUAAACGAUGCGAACUGGAUGUUGGUCUCAACUCGGAGAUCAGUGUCGAAGCUAACGCGUUAAGUUCGCCGCCUGGGGAGUUCGGUCGCAAGACUGAAACUCAAA
This 907-nucleotide ribosomal RNA is filed under the name uncultured bacterium. RNAcentral's name for it is "bacterial SSU rRNA". It matches the Rfam family "Bacterial small subunit ribosomal RNA", at positions 8 to 905 of the family's 1533-position model. The record is from RNAcentral.